GGUGUGUUGCUCUCAGGAAGACGAGAAAAUAUUGGUCUAUGAAUACCUGCCCAACAAGAGCCUGGACUUCUUCAUCUUUGACCAAGAUAAAAGAGCUUUACUGGAUUGGUCCAAACUUCUGGCAAUCAUUGAAGGAAUAGCACAUGGACUUCUCUACCUACACAAGCACUCCCGUUUGCGCGUCAUACAUAGAGAUCUGAAACAAAGCAACAUCCUCUUGGAUGGCGAAAUGAAUCAAAAAAUUUCAGAUUUCGGGCUAGCAAAAAUAUUCAGCUCAAACAAUACCGAAGGAAACACUACAAGAAGAGUGGUCGGCACAUAUGGCUACAUGGCUCCGGAGUAUGCU
Molecule: long non-coding RNA, 346 nt
Organism: Panicum virgatum (switchgrass)
Lineage: Eukaryota; Viridiplantae; Streptophyta; Magnoliopsida; Poales; Poaceae
Exons: 3
Source: RefSeq, a predicted model, not a curated record